Molecule: RNA transcript, 3542 nt
Organism: Nilaparvata lugens (brown planthopper)
Lineage: Eukaryota; Metazoa; Arthropoda; Insecta; Hemiptera; Delphacidae
Gene: Son
Gene name: protein SON
Exons: 16
Source: RefSeq, a predicted model, not a curated record
AAACUUUAACUACUCUACUAAUAGAAAUAGAAAAUGGAUUCCAAUUUUCUAAUUUUGUGAUUGUUUAUGAAAUCUAAAUAUUGUUUAGAUAGUGAGUAAUUAUUCGAAUACUUUAGUUUUAUCGUACUUGAGUAAAAUCUAUUAAUUACACAUGAGCGCAACUUCAAAAUUCCUGUGUUUCUUUUCUGAUCACAUAUUUUUAGAUGAGUAGAAACACAAAUGCCAUGUUACACAAAGCCAUGCAGGUGUCUUAAAUAGUUUUCGAGUCUACUGUCAAAAGUGAUUGGAUUCCGGCUUUGCAAUGCAGAGUCCUGUGAAAUCAUCAAAUGAAAUUCUGUCGGAACUAUUCGGAGCUUUCAAUGCGAAACCACCAGAAAUCUCCGAACCAGAUCCCAUCGAAGCCUCCCUCGACAAAUCCAGUUCAGACAACGACUCAAAAAUCGGCGACAAAGAUAAGAAGAAGAAGAGCAAACACCAUAAGAGUAAGAAGAGUAAAAAGCAUUCUCAUCGAUCGUCGGACAGUGAUCACAAAAAGAAGAAACGGAAGAAAAAGGAUGAGAAGCAUAAGCGUAAGUCGAAACAUCACAAGAAAAAAUCGAAAACUAAAGAGAAUCUAAAAAGUAGUCCGUCGUCUUCUGACAGUGAAGAGAGUGACAGCAAGCUGAAAACACUGAUUGAUAUCAGUAAAAUAAAAAAAGAGAAAGUCUCAAAAGAUUUGAAACCUGUACUGCUGAAUGAACUGGCCAGUGAGACCCCGGCAAUCCAGCCCGUUGAUCUUUCAGACAUUGAACCUCCCAAAGGGGAGCCACUCAAACCCAUCGUGCAAUCAAUAAAGAAAGAAGAAGAUAAUAGUGGUGCCUCUCUAGUACCUGCUAUUAGUGAUAGUGUUGAAAAAGGAAAGUUGGACAGCAUAGAAAGUGAAAAGGACACUACUGAUACAACAUCGAAAGUUGAAGAUGUUUUUACCGAAAUCGAAAAACCAAAACCAGCUCUUGGAGGAAAAAUAAUGAUAAAGAAUCUCAAAUUCAGUUCAGUAUUUGAAGAGACAGUAAAGCAAGUGGAAGAACAAGCGAGACUGAAAGCAGAGAAAUAUGAAGAGGGAGAAAUUUCAGAUAGCAGUAGUAAUGCGAUAUCCGAGUCCAAGUCGUCUUCACCUGUGCCUUCAAUCGAACUUGAGACUGUAGAGAAAACAAUAAUUGUUGUGAAGUCUAGUCAUAGUAAGCAUUCUCCAAGCAGAAAAGAGCACCGUAAAAGGUCGAGAAGCCCAGAUAAACACAAGCACAAAUCAAGUGGAAUCCACUCAUCGUCUCACAAAUCGUCACAUAGAGACAAAAAAUCAUCGUCCCAUCGCAGUCGAUCUGGCAGUAGGUCUCGUCUGAAAACUAAGGACCCGUAUUCUUCGAAAGAUAAGGACCCAUAUUCCUCGAAGGAAAAGGACACGAAAAAAUGUGCAAAAAGGAGACGAUCAAGUGAGAGGAGUUCAGGUGAUCAUCGUCAUCAUCAUCAUCAUCAUCACAGCAGUCGUGGCCAUAGUCGGAAGGAGAGUGAUCAUCACGACAGUCAUCGUAGCAGUCACAAAGAUGGCGGCAAACAUGGCCGCAAAAGAUCCGCGUCGCCUGCUCGCAAAAAGCCGCAUCGAUCUAGGUCACCGAGCAGAUCGAAGGCCACCUCACCCAGGCGUAAAGAAAGGCGUUCGUCGCAAGAAAAGAUUGAUAAGCAGAAGUUGUUGGAAAUAGCGCGCAGGAAUGCUCUGUCCAUGCUAAAGCAGGCUCCGCCAGUGGUGGGGGCAACUGAGCCAGCAAAGGCAACCAUAGCAGCUGGUGGCAAAACUGUCGACGAACUCACUGAUUUCUGCAAACUUCUUUCUAAAAAAGAUGCUGAUGGCCACGAAUCAAUCAGCUCGAAUACAUCCGACUCAGAAGCAAGCGAGUCUGAAAAACCAUUCCAUCAUCCAUUCCAAAUCAAAGACCGUCCAUCGAGUAUUGUCUUGAAUAUAAGGAAUGCUGUCCCAAUGCCCUUGAAAACGCUUCAAGAGAAGACAGCGGAGCAAUCGAAGGUGCUCAGUCAGCAAUUUCCUGUUUCUAGCGGCCAACUUCACAGGAAAAAAGAAAGCGAUUGGGUUCCGGUCCCCCCUAAGAAGGACACGGAAGAUAUCCCUCUUCCAGCGCUGCCCCCUGCCCUCCCUCAGCCUGUACCGCCUCCUGACAAAACUGCCUCCCCAUUGCUGCCCCCUCUGCCUCCACUCCAGCCGCCUCCAAUGCCUCCCGAGUCCAUUUUCCCCGUCACUAAGGAGGUUACUGCUCCAACCCCUCAGCGAAUUGAUGUCUCUACAAUAAUGACUCAGAGGCUUGCAGCAAUGAAGCAGCUUGAGAGGAAUCCAAGUGAUGUUCAUGCUAAGAAUCAAAUGAACAAGGCUGAAUUACAUAUGCAGGCUUGGGCCGAAUCGAAAUACGAGCCAGGUCAGUUCACUGGCUCAACUGGAGCUCGAAUUCUCACUCCUUACGAGCUUGCUCCCGGCAGCCAAGCCUGGACUCGUCCAGCACUUCUAGCACUUGCUCUUCGAUGUUGAAAACGCGUUUGGAUCUCCAACAACGAUUUUUCAUCAUUUUUGAUGCAGCGUGUGAGCCGUAGUGGAUCAGCUGGUGACUGCGACCCCUGUGAAGAGCGGCAUGGGCAUGACUCUGCUGCAGAAGAUGGGUUGGCGGCCGGGUGAGGGUCUCGGCAAGAACAAGGAGGGUGCUCUCGAGCCGCUCCUGCUCAAGGUCAAGAUGGACAAGAAAGGACUUGUUGCUGACGAAGAGAAUGAACACACAAGAAUGAAGCGAAUGAACCAAGUACAACAACGAGCAAAUCCAAAGUCGUUGGAAGGGAAGCAUCCUGUAUCAUUAUUGAAUGAAUUCUGCACUAAAAGGAGAUAUGGAGUGCCUACCUUUAAUCUCUGCUUUGAAGGAGGGCCUGAUCACAAGAAAACAUUCUUAUUCAAGGUAACAGUCAAUGGCGUAGAAUACAAACCAAGUGUAUCAAGUCUGAAUAAAAAGCAAGCCAGAGUAGAGGCAGCUGUAGUAUGUUUAAAAGCAAUGGGAGUGCUAGAACCAUAAAAAGUAUGAAUGAAAAACUCGACUACAUGACUACCUCACUUCUCGUAGUUUGGAUUUUCAACUAUGUUUUAUUAGUGGGGGGGGGGGAAUUUCGUGGUAUUUGUCACGCCGUAUGUCUCAUCAGUAUUGAGAAUAUGUUCAUCCCAAUAUUGUAUUUUUCGCUGAUGAUAUCCAAUUACGUGAAUUGUGAGUGGAUAAUGAAGUGACGAAUGGUACGGAAAAUGCCAGUCUGAGUGUGAAACAAACCUAUGACCGGUAGCAUACAGAAGUUGCGACAACUCAACCUACAGAGCCCGCUAAUGGUGGGUUCCGAAAAUUCUUUUGCGGUCUGAAAAGUCGAAUCUUUGUACAGGGAUUGAUAAUUUAUACAUACGUUUUUAAAAAUAGAUUAAUCAACGGAUUUUAAUUUGUACAUUAUUAGAAUAAAAUUUAUUUUGAAGUGUA